This 332-nucleotide long non-coding RNA is filed under the name Vigna radiata. Its description in RNAcentral is "long non-coding RNA (VRAD_LNC002881)". Lineage: Eukaryota; Viridiplantae; Streptophyta; Magnoliopsida; Fabales; Fabaceae. The record is from RNAcentral.
UGACCAUUAUGGUAAGCUAGGCUACAAGAUUGACAAAGUUAUGUAUUACAUGGAUCCUCUACAUCACCUCUUGAGGACCCUCCUUCAUCUGAUAUAGCCAACAAAUUUGUUAUUAUCAGUAACUUUCUCAAAUGGUAUGAGAAUUCACAACCUUCUAAUUCCAUUGCUUUUGUACCACGCAUAGGUACAUCUUUUUUUGUUUUGACUCAAUCUUCUUCUCUUGGUUCUUAGGUUCUCUUGGUCUGACUCAAUCCCUUGAGGCUGUUAGGGUUUAUUGUGGUGAGAGGAAGAGGGAUUUUGUUAUAGGAGGAUGUGGAGAGAGAUAGGGGGGG